UAACCAGGUGUGCCACCAUCUGGCCCUGAAAAAAAUUUUUUUUUAACUGGCAAUAGUAAUGCCAUGUUACUAGCCUUAACGACAUUGGGGUCAUUAAGGUACCUGAAAGUGUCGCUAUGA
This 120-nucleotide small nucleolar RNA is filed under the name Erinaceus europaeus (western European hedgehog). RNAcentral's name for it is "Small nucleolar RNA SNORA33 (ENSEEUG00000016473.1)". Lineage: Eukaryota; Metazoa; Chordata; Mammalia; Eulipotyphla; Erinaceidae. The record is from RNAcentral.